AGAUAAAUUUAGCUGGUGGUGCAGAGAUCUGUGAGCUUGCUUUUACAGGACUUUAAUGAUAUAUAAAAGCAGCAUGAAGGGCUCCUGACUGUGGAUUAAUUUGGAGAUGACUUUCUCUGUUGAAGAGUGGCAAGACUCUUGCAAGUUCUUAAAAAUGCACUUGUUUGGUAUGAGAAUGAAAAGCAGUGGCUGAAGAACCAGUCUUCAAUGGGCAAGGCUUCUCUGAUGCCUUGUUUGAGGUACAGUGCGAACCCAUUAGCACUGAACUCAGGACCAGCAACGCUGUAACUCAGGCCUGAAGGAAGCAUUUCUAGCACAUGAAUUUCCUCCGUAAGGCACCUCACAGCCUCUUGUGCCUGGGAACUCUAGCCAGCACUGCAACACGAUGCCUGGGGCCAUUAUAAAUGUGAAAUUACCAAAGAAACCCCACAAAAAUGUGAAAAUCAUGGCACUAAAUAGACCACAAAAAGAAUGCUUAUUUGCAGUAUGAGAACUGGAACCAGAAGACAUCAAUAUCUGGCUUUGAGUGGCACAAAGAAAUAAAGGAAUGUGGAUUCAGACCUCACUGGGAUGCUUGGCAAUUCUAAUUCUACGCCAGACUGCAAAUGGACACAAAACUGUUGCGACUUUUGUUGAAGAGGAGAAGGAUGGGCUGUUUCCCAUAUAAGGUUCAUGACCCCCAGGGAGGAUGAAACUGCCUGCCAGGUUUGUCUUCUCUCCUGUUCACUGGUUACUCAGCCAGGCGGAUUCACGGGCUUCUCAAAGGAACUUGUUUAUCAGAAGCUUGUCUAAGACACUACGUCUUCCAGAAAAUCUCACCUGAGUCACCAACAGAUUCCUCUAAGAAUCUGUAAGCCGCUCCCGACCAGCAGGAAACCCCAACAGAGGCAAAGAAUAGCAAAGUGAAUAUUUUGUCAAGAAAAAAUGAGAGACUGGGCGCGGUGGCUCAUGCCUAUAAUCCCAGCACUUUGGGAGGCCUAAGUGGGCUGAUCAUUUGAGGUCAGGAGUUUGAGACAACCUGGUCAACAGGGUGAAACCCUGUCUCUACUAAAAAUACAAAAACAAUUAGCUGGGCGUAGUGGUGGGUGCCUGUAGUCCCAGCUACUGGGGGAGGCUGUGGCAGGAGAAUCGCUGAAACCCGGAAGACGGAAGUUGCAGUGAGCUGAGACCGCACCACUGCACUCCAGCCUGGGUGACGGAGUGAGACUGUCUCAGAAAAAAAUAAACACACAAAAAAGCGAGAAAGCGCCCCAUUUAGAUCACUCAGACAAAAGAUUUUAUUUGUGCCAAAAUGUUCCACAAGGCUUCCAGUUUUCACCACAUAACUUGACAGUCAUGCAAGACUUAAGUAUAUUUUCAGCUAUCCUUUCUCUUUCAUUUAUUUCUGUUUAAUAAGCUCUCAGUCCGUUGAUUCUAGUUAGUACAUUAUGUAUCUUUUUAAUCACUUACCUUCAGUGAGCAUCUUUCCAUGUUGGUAAACACCAGUGCUACUACUAUUACUAUAUGACACUUACUGAGUACUUAACUCUACGUCAAAUCCUCUGCCAAGCAUUUUCAAGCAUUGUCUCAUUGCCUUCUUGCCACAACCCUAUGAAGAUGCCGUGAUUGUCCUCAUCCAAUGGAGGAGGAAGCUGAGGCUGAGAGCAAUGAACACAGCUGUGAGUGAACAGGUAGGAUUUAAAGCCAGGCAGUAUGAUUCUGGAGCCUACGCUUUUAAUCACUGUUAUUUUACUCUCCUCCACUCCCCAAAUAUACUGCAUUCUUUUUCUGUGA
Molecule: long non-coding RNA, 1773 nt
Filed under: Macaca mulatta (Rhesus monkey)
Lineage: Eukaryota; Metazoa; Chordata; Mammalia; Primates; Cercopithecidae
Description: lncRNA (ENSMMUG00000053049.1)
Source: RNAcentral